This 978-nucleotide ribosomal RNA is filed under the name uncultured bacterium. Its description in RNAcentral is "bacterial SSU rRNA". It matches the Rfam family "Bacterial small subunit ribosomal RNA", at positions 506 to 1482 of the family's 1533-position model. The record is from RNAcentral.
UGCCAGGCAGCCGCGGUAAUACGGAGGAUGCAAGCGUUAUCCUGGAAUUACUGGGCGUACAAGCAGUGCGCAAGCGUGUCUUGCAAGACAGAUGUGAUAAUCCCCGGGCUUAACCUGGGAACUGCACUUGUGACUGCAAGGCUGGAGUACGGCAGAGGGGGAUGGAAUUCCGCGUGUAGCAGUGAAAUGCGUAGAUAUGCGGAGGUACACCGAUGGCGAAGGCAAUCCCCUGGGCCUGUACUGACGCUCAUGCACGAAAGCGUGGGGAGCAAACAGGAUUAGAUACCUCUGGUAGUCCACGCCCUAAACGAUGUCAACUGGUUGUUGGACGGCUUGCUGUUCAGUAACGAAGCUAACGCGUGAAGUUGACCGCCUGGGGAGUACGGCCGCAAGGUUGAAACUCAAAGGAAUUGACGGGGACCCGCACAAGCGGUGGAUGAUGUGGUUUAAUUCGAUGCAACGCGAAAAACCUUACCUACCCUUGACAUGUCUGGAAUCCUGAAGAGAUUUGGGAGUGCUCGAAAGAGAGCCAGAACACAGGUGCUGCAUGGCCGUCGUCAGCUCGUGUCGUGAGAUGUUGGGUUAAGUCCCGCAACGAGCGCAACCCUUGUCAUUAGUUGCUACGAAAGGGCACUCUAAUGAGACUGCCGGUGACAAACCGGAGGAAGGUGGGGAUGACGUCAGGUCCUCAUGGCCCUUAUGGGUAGGGCUACACACGUCAUACAAUGGCCGGUACAGAGGGCUGCCAACCCGCGAGGGGGAGCCAAUCCCAGAAAACCGGUCGUAGUCCGGAUCGCAGUCUGCAACUCGACUGCGUGAAGUCGGAAUCGCUAGUAAUCGCGGAUCAGCUUGCCGCGGUGAAUACGUUCCCGGGUCUUGUACACACCGCCCGUCACACCAUGGGAGCGGGUUCUGCCAGAAGUAGUUAGCCUAACCGCAAGGAGGGCGAUUACCACGGCAGGGUUCGUGACUGGGGUG